GACGCUGGGCGUGCGGUGUUCUGUCUCCGCUCCCGUUUCGCUGUCACCACUCGUUCCCUCCCGGAGCCCGGGACAGGCUGGGCGCGCGCCCGUGCUCAGUGCUGUCCGGGCUGGUUUCCCCGGUCCCUGACUAACCGCUUUCUGCCCCUUCUGUCGCCACCCCUGCCCAAGGUCGCCCCUCUGCGCUCGCCCCUGUCCCGGGAGGGUGGGAAGCUUUGACCCCGCCCUGCCCACUCGCGUCUCCGCAGCCGUAGCCGCACCUGCCCCAAUAUGAAUAGGGUCAACGACCCACUUAUUUUUAUAAGAGAUAUUAAGCCCGGACUGAAAAACUUAAAUGUCGUCUUUAUUGUCCUGGAGAUAGGACGCGUGACCAAAACCAAAGACGGCCAUGAAGUGAGAUCGUGCAAAGUAGCAGAUAAAACGGGCAGCAUCACUAUUUCCGUGUGGGAUGAGAUCGGAGGUCUUAUACAGCCAGGGGAUAUUAUUCGGUUGACCAGAGGGUAUGCAUCCAUGUGGAAAGGAUGUCUGACACUUUAUACUGGAAGGGGUGGUGAACUUCAAAAAAUUGGGGAUCUAGGUGCGGUGCAGGCAGCCGCAAUGCGAGAUUCCAUACACUACUACCCUGGUAAUGAUCUCCACCCUGACCUGGAGGAGCCAUCCUCUCUAGGGGUGUAAGAUUUUGUAUGGUUUAUUCAGAAGUGCCAAAUUUCAGUGAACCCAACCCAGAUUAUCGAGGACAGCAGAACAAAGGGGCACAGAGUGAACAGAAGAAUAAUUCCACGAAUAAUAAUACGGGUACAGGUGCAUUCGGACCAGUGGGAAAUGGUGUUCACACUGGCACUGAAUCAAGGGGACACCAGUUUUCACAUGCUGGCAGAAGCAAUGGCCGGGGACCUCUAAAUCCACAACUACAAGGAACCGCUAGUAAUCAAACAGUGAUGACCACAAUCAGUAAUGGCAGGGACCCUCGGAGAGCCUUUAAAAGAUGACCUAUGCUAAAUACUCACAUGUAGUUUUUAUACUACAUGCCCUACUUGAACACUUAUUGCACUUUUAUUUAUUGUUAACUGUGAAAAGUAUGUCCUUUAUUGGGUUUCCUUUUAUAUUCUUGGUUUGUUAAGAAGAAUGGUUUGUUUUUAUAGCAAAACUGUUAAGCUGCUCAAGUCUCCUGUUGAAGAAUGGGAACACUGAAAAGUAGGGGCAUUUAUUUUUAGAGCAAAAAGAUUAUUGGAUAACCUCUAAAAAACCUGCACCCAUUUCAUGGGUGAGUUACAUCAGCUUUAUAGCCUCUAUGAGUCUAUCUUCUGUAUAAGUUUUGUAAUAUUUAACAUAAGGCUUAAUGGGAGAUGUUCUUUUGUCUUGUAUUCAGAUAUUGCCAACUAAAGCAAUAACUAUCAAAAAACACAAGAACUUGUCAAUGCUAGCAGUAAUUUUUGAGUAUUUGUGGCUCUCAGAAUGAUUGACUUUGUUGAGUGACUACCAUUAAGAUUUUCCAAGGACUGACUCAUCCCAAAUUUUUGUUGUAUUACCAGAAAAACAGAUUCCUUAUCAGAAUUUGGAAUAGAAUGUAAUAUAUAUUUCAACAAGUAAUUUUAAAAGAAAGGCUACAUUUAUUUUAGAGUAGUGCUCCUAACAUGUAUUAUCAACUUUGUGGAUUACAUUGGAGGAAAAUUUAAAAGUGGGGCCUUGAAUGUUUAUUUUUUGCAACUACCAUGUUAAAUACUGAAGUAUAAUUUGAGGGAGUUAUAACGUUAUAAUAAACAUUGAUCUGAUUAUUUAAAAAAAAUUGCAAACAUACUGGAGGUGAGUCAAAUUGAAUUAUAUAGUAACAUGCAGUCUUAAGUCCUCAUUACUUAACAGGUACUCAGCCUGGAGUGAAAAUCCUGGGUACUAACUUUGAGAGGGGUGAGUGUGCAUGUUGUCAAAGUUUCUGAACACAGUUCAUGUAGCCUUAUUAGCAAAAGUUUUAAGAAAUGGCUCUAUCAAAGAAGCAAUUACAGCUUUAUUCAGAAAUGUAAAGGUGGAAUUUAUGUACAUGUCGUAAGUGGUACCCACUUCCCCUUUUUACUGUAGGGUGGAUAACUCUUAGGAUUUAACUCUUUGAAUAUUAUCUCUUGAAUAAAGCGUGUGUUAAUGUUAACAAAUCUACCUAAUUUUUGCUCUUUCAAUGACUUGCAGUGGAGAGCCAGUACAUCUUUACUACUACUGUUGUAGUGAUGGCAUCAACCUUAUGGUUACUUAGCUCUGCAUUUGUUGCUUUGUUUUUUUUCCACUUCAAAUCACAAAAUAAGUAGAUUUUGUUUUCUGAAAACUCCAUAGCAUUUGAAUACAAAAAGUUGUGCCAGUUUGUCCUACUUCAGCGUGUUUAACAAAUAUUUCAGUACACAGUAUGUAUUAGGCACUGUGUGGAAAGUGUUAAGGGUUAAACAAAAUACCGAAUACUCUCUACAAGUUUAUUUGUGUUCUAUAGUACUUUUGUAACUGGGGUUACAAAAAUUAUAGAAAUUUUGUUCCUUUAUUCAUAUGCAUAUUGAUGAUUAUAAUUUGGCUUUGUUUGUGAUUAAUGUUUUCUUAAGAUUUUCACAUUGCAGAAUACCUCAGAAGAAGUUGUCUAAGGAUUGGGAUAGAGAGUAUGUUUCUUAAAAUUGUAGAUGUUUAGAAUUUUUAAAAAACAAAUUAGUAUAUGAUUGUUUUAUGUAAGUAAGAUAGGAGCAACACUUUAAAUUAUUUGUAGGAGGAUGUGGCAUUAAAGGUGAUUUUAAAAGAAAAGAUUUUGGAGUUUUAGAAAAUUUAAAUACUGUCAGGUAUGGAAUGCUGGGCUUCCAAUCCUGGCCUCAUUGUCUCCUCACCUGUGAUGUUGGGUGAUGUUUUAUUACACUUGAAAUGUCUCUGAGCCUUAGGUUCCACAACUAUGAAAACAAGUAAGUAUGAGUAUCCUUUCUAGACUUGUUUAAGAUUUCCAUGUAAGUAAUUAUAAUGAUUUGCGACACAUAAUAAUGUCAUCUUAUACCCCAACAGUAGGAAAAAAAUGCAGAAUUCAGUGUGAAAGUAUUGUUACCCUUUAACACAGUGGUCCCCAACCUUUUUGGCACCAGGGACCAGUUUCCUGGAAGACAGUUUUUCCAUGGGAUGGGGGGGAUGGUUUUGGGAUGAAACUGUUUCACUUCAGGUUAUCAGUCAUUAGUUAGAUUCGCAUAAGGAGCGUGCAACCUGAAUCCCUUGCACACGCAGUUCACAAUAGGGUUCAUGCUCCUAUGAGAAUCUAAUGCCACCACUAAUCUGACAGGAGGCGGAGCUCGGUUACGCUCCCUCGCCUGCCACUCAGCUCCUGCUGGGUGUUCCUGUUCCUAGCAGGCCAGAGUUGAUACUGAUCUAGUGGUUGGGGACCCCUGUUUAACAAGUUGAGAUUAAAUGGAGAAAGACCUAAGCUUUUACUUCUGUGAUUGACACUUGCUUCAAUAACGUAACCUUGUUCUGUGUUUUUAUCAUUUAUUAACAGAUUUCUUUUUUCUUAAGGGAAGCCUCCAAAAGCAAAGCAAAGUGAGUUACAAUCCAUAAUGAAUAUUUGCCUUACCAGCCUACUGGAACACACUUAUGAGGAAGUUAAGAGGAAGAAAGUUUUCUACCUUCCUCCUUCCUGGUGCUCUCAGCUAUCAACUUUGAAAUAAGUUUAAACACCACCUACUGAAAACAAAAACCACUUAGUAUAAAAAUAUCCCCCACC
RNA transcript from Rhinopithecus roxellana (golden snub-nosed monkey), 3724 nucleotides. It is a transcript of the gene named nucleic acid binding protein 1, with no coding region annotated. The transcript is spliced from 8 exons. NCBI's taxonomy places the organism in Eukaryota, Metazoa, Chordata, Mammalia, Primates, Cercopithecidae. The record is from RefSeq and is a predicted model, not a curated record.